AUCUAGUUGACGAGUCCGAAAUAGGACAAAAUACGUUUCCUGGAU
Molecule: non-coding RNA, 45 nt
Filed under: Schistosoma mattheei
Lineage: Eukaryota; Metazoa; Platyhelminthes; Trematoda; Strigeidida; Schistosomatidae
Source: RNAcentral